AUUGAACGCUGGCGGCAGGCCUAACACAUGCAAGUCGAACGGGAACAGCUAAAAGCUUUCCUCUUUGCUUGCGGGUGGCGGACGGGGGGGCAGUGUCGGGGGAAAUGCGUGGUGAAGGGGGAUAACUACUGGGGAUGGUAGCUGGUACCGCAUAACGUCGCAAGACCAGAAAGCGGGACGUUUGGGCAGCUUUCCAUCGGAGGUGCCCACAUGGGAUUAGCUAGUAGGUGGGGUAACGGCUCACCUAGGCGACGAUGCAUAGCUGGUUUGAGAGGAUGACCAGCCACACUGGAACUGAGACACGGUCCAGACUCCUACGGGAGGCAGCAGUGGGGAAUAUUGCACAAUGGGCGCAAGCCUGAUGCAGCCAUGCCGCGUGUAUGAAGAAGGCCUUCGGGUUGUAAAGUACUUUUGGCGGGGAAGAAGGGAGUAAAGUUAAUACCGUUGCUAAUUGACGUUACCCAAAGAAGAAGCACCGGCUAACUCCGUG
RNAcentral lists this ribosomal RNA (490 nucleotides) under uncultured bacterium. Its description in RNAcentral is "partial 16S ribosomal RNA". It matches the Rfam family "Bacterial small subunit ribosomal RNA", at positions 30 to 507 of the family's 1533-position model. The record is from RNAcentral.